AGUACGAGCGGACAGACAGGGAAGCAUGCUCCCGGAUGCAGCGGCGGACGGGUGAGUAACACGCGGGUAACCCGCCUGUAAGACCGGGACACUCCCGGGAAACCGGGGCUAAUACCGGAUGGCCGCCCGAACCGCAUGGUUCAAACAUAAAAGGUGGCUUCGGCUACCACUUACAGAUGGACCCGCGGCGCAUUAGCUAGUUGGUGAGGUAACGGCUCACCAAGGCAACGAUGCGUAGCCGACCUGAGAGGGUGAUCGGCCACACUGGGACUGAGACACGGCCCAGACUCCUACGGGAGGCAGCAGUAGGGAAUCUUCCGCAAUGGACGAAAGUCUGACGGAGCAACGCCGCGUGAGUGAUGAAGGUUUUCGGAUCGUAAAGCUCUGUUGUUAGGGGAAGAACAAGUACCGUUCGAAUAGGGCGGUACCUUGACGGUACCUAACCAGAAAGCCACGGCUAACUACGUGCCAGCAGCCGCGGUAAUACGUAGGUGGCAAGCGUUGUCCGGAAUUAUUGGGCGUAAAGGGCUCGCAGGCGGUUUCUUAAGUCUGAUGUGAAAGCCCCCGGCUCAACCGGGGAGGGUCAUUGGAAACUGGGGAACUUGAGUGCAGAAGAGGAGAGUGGAAUUCCACGUGUAGCGGUGAAAUGCGUAGAGAUGUGGAGGAACACCAGUGGCGAAGGCGACUCUCUGGUCUGUAACUGACGCUGAGGAGCGAAAGCGUGGGGAGCGAACAGGAUUAGAUACCCUGGUAGUCCACGCCGUAAACGAUGAGUGCUAAGUGUUUAGGGGGUUUCCGCCCCUUACUGCUGCAGCUAACGCAUUAAGCACUCCGCCUGGGGAGUACGGUCGCAAGACUGAAACUCAAAGGAAUUGACGGGAGCCCGCACAAACGCUGUAGCAUGUGGUUUAAUUCGAAGCAACGCGGAGAACCUUAACAAGUCUUGACAUCCUCUGACAUUCUAGAGAUAGGACGUCCCUUCGGCGCAGAGUGACAGUGGUGCAGGUUGUCGUCGUUUCUGUCAUGAGAGAUGGGUAAGUCCGCAACAUCGCACCUUGAUGUAGUUGCAACAUUAAUUGGGCCUCUAGGUGACUACCGUGACA
Molecule: ribosomal RNA, 1103 nt
Filed under: Bacillus subtilis
Lineage: Bacteria; Bacillati; Bacillota; Bacilli; Caryophanales; Bacillaceae
Description: bacterial SSU rRNA
Rfam family: Bacterial small subunit ribosomal RNA
Source: RNAcentral